RNAcentral lists this long non-coding RNA (82 nucleotides) under Monodelphis domestica (gray short-tailed opossum). RNAcentral describes it as "lncRNA (ENSMODG00000036672.1)". The record is from RNAcentral. Lineage: Eukaryota; Metazoa; Chordata; Mammalia; Didelphimorphia; Didelphidae.
UCCAACCUCCUUUUCCAUUAUCUGCAGAUGUGAAUUCUAUUGGUAUGCCCAAAGAAUUGACACCCUGGUAACUGGAUUAUAA